CAAUAAUGUGUCGGUGGGGAUGUCCUUAUACCAACACGACUUACAUGUGCAAAUGGUGCGGUACAAGAUACUGUCGUGAGUGCCUAAAAGUCUAAAUGCCAAGGCCAAAGGGUAGAAUACAUGCCAGGUCACGCCUGGCCCCUUGCCGAUAAGAACGGCGAUAAUUCGACAAGGAAACGCAG
Lingula anatina is the source of this 182-nucleotide long non-coding RNA. The record is from RefSeq and is a predicted model, not a curated record. Lineage: Eukaryota; Metazoa; Brachiopoda; Lingulata; Lingulida; Lingulidae.